Molecule: transfer RNA, 77 nt
Filed under: Pseudomonadota bacterium
Lineage: Bacteria; Pseudomonadati; Pseudomonadota
Description: Proteobacteria bacterium tRNA-Gly
Rfam family: tRNA
About the family: Transfer RNA (tRNA) molecules are approximately 80 nucleotides in length. Their secondary structure includes four short double-helical elements and three loops (D, anti-codon, and T loops).
Source: RNAcentral
GCGGGAGUAGCUCAGUUGGUUAGAGCGCCACGUUGCCAACGUGGAGGUCGAGGGUUCGAGUCCCUUUUCCCGCUCCA